CAAACACACAUCGAGCAAUGUGUAGCAUUUGAUUCUGGCUCAGUAUUCGAGUUGACUCUUUUUAGUCUACGCCAUUUUUUUCGCUUCAAAACUUUUAAAGUGAUGGCAAAGACUUUGGGCAAGACUGUACACUAAAUAUAUUUACAUUUAAAAAAGGCCUAAACAAAAAAGAUCUAAUUUAAAACAAACAAAAAAAUAAUACAACAA
Molecule: long non-coding RNA, 207 nt
Organism: Contarinia nasturtii (swede midge)
Lineage: Eukaryota; Metazoa; Arthropoda; Insecta; Diptera; Cecidomyiidae
Exons: 2
Source: RefSeq, a predicted model, not a curated record